This 317-nucleotide ribosomal RNA is filed under the name uncultured bacterium. Its description in RNAcentral is "bacterial SSU rRNA". It matches the Rfam family "Bacterial small subunit ribosomal RNA", at positions 28 to 371 of the family's 1533-position model. The record is from RNAcentral.
GAUGAACGCUGGCGGUAUGCCUAACACAUGCAAGUCGUACGAGAGUUUUUAACUCUAGUGGCGGACGGGUGAGUAACACGUGAGAAUUUGCCUUUAGGAGGGGGAUAACAAUUGGAAACGAAUGCUAAUACCCCAUAUGCUUUUGAGUGAAAUGGAUUUUAUCCGCCUAGAGAGAAGCUCGCGGCUGAUUAGCUUGUUGGUAAGGUAAGAGCUUACCAAGGCGACGAUCAGUAUCUGGUUUGAGAGGACGAUCAGACACACUGGAACUGAGACACGGUCCAGACUCCUACGGGAGGCAGCAGUGGGGAAUUUGACAA